GUCUACGGCCACGCCACCAUGAACGUGCCCGAUCUCAUCCGAUCUCGGAAGCUAAGCAAGGUCAGACCUGGUUAGUACUCGGAUGGGAGACCACUCAGGAAUACCAGGUGCUGUAGGCA
Molecule: ribosomal RNA, 119 nt
Filed under: Pteropus alecto (black flying fox)
Lineage: Eukaryota; Metazoa; Chordata; Mammalia; Chiroptera; Pteropodidae
Source: RNAcentral